AGCGAACGCUGGCGGCAGGCUUAACACAUGCAAGUCGAGCGCCGUAGCAAUACGGAGCGGCAGACGGGUGAGUAACGCGUGGGAACGUGCCUUUUGAUUCGGAACAACACAGGGAAACUUGUGCUAAUACCGGAUAAGCCCUUACGGGGAAAGAUUUAUCGCCAAAAGAUCGGCCCGCGUCUGAUUAGCUAGUUGGUGAGGUAACGGCUCACCAAGGCGACGAUCAGUAGCNGGUCUGAGAGGAUGAUCAGCCACACUGGGACUGAGACACGGCCCAGACUCCUACGGGAGGCAGCAGUGGGGAAUAUUGGACAAUGGGCGCAAGCCUG
This 329-nucleotide ribosomal RNA is filed under the name uncultured bacterium. RNAcentral's name for it is "bacterial SSU rRNA". It matches the Rfam family "Bacterial small subunit ribosomal RNA", at positions 29 to 385 of the family's 1533-position model. The record is from RNAcentral.